RNAcentral lists this ribosomal RNA (490 nucleotides) under uncultured bacterium. RNAcentral's name for it is "partial 16S ribosomal RNA". It matches the Rfam family "Bacterial small subunit ribosomal RNA", at positions 28 to 507 of the family's 1533-position model. The record is from RNAcentral.
GAUGAACGCUAGCGAUAGGCUUAACACAUGCAAGUCGAGGGGCAGCAUGGGCUUAGCUUGCUAAGACUGAUGGCGACCGGCGCACGGGUGCGUAACGCGUAUGCAACUUGCCUCACAGAGGGGGAUAACCCGUCGAAAGACGGACUAAUACCGCGUACACUCUAUUUUGGGCAUCCAAGGUAGAGGAGAUGAAGUUCGCUGUGAGAGAGGCAUGCGUCCCAUUAGCUAGAUGGUGAGGUAAAGGCGCACCAAGGCGACGAUGGGUAGGGGAACUGAGGGGGUGCCCCACCACACUGGUACUGCGGCCCGGACCCGACUGCUACGGGGGGCAACGGUGAGGUAUAUUAGUCACUGAGCGAGAGCGUGACCCCGCCAAGUCGCGUGAAGGAUGACUGUCUUAUGGAUUGUAAGCUUCUUGUGUAGAGGAAUAAAGAGGGGCACGUGUGCCCCAGUGACGGUACCCUACGAAUAAGCAUCGGCUAACUCCGUG